AAUGAAGCACUUGGGCCAAUCGGGGAAUGGACACUUUAGGACUGUGUCCGAGUCCACAAACUCCUAGAAACAGUUCUUCUUGACCAUGAUGCUGCUUUAAGAUGGAAGGAGCAAUGUGCCAAGUACUCUCCUUACUCCACAUACUUUGAGGGCAGACUCAGCUCUGCCAUGCCCAACUCUGUGUACAACCAAAGUAACAACUCAAAAAAUGGAAACCAUUCGGUAGUUGGAAAAACUGCAGAAUCUCUUGCAUCAAACGAUAAGCUCGAGGCAUUUAAAGAUCUUACCAUCUGACUAUGAUGUUGAGGCCGAUGUUCAGUUAAAACAUUUUUAGAGUUGCAAUCUCUUGUUUUAUUAUCCCUUAAUUUGGCUGAAUUUCCUUCUCCAGAGGUUGCAACAAUAAUUACUGGACAAGCCUAGUACUCUUCCAUUUGAUGAGGAGGCUGGAAAUUAUGUAAAAGAUGAUGUAUGGCCUGCCCUUAUUGUUGAGACAAGCAAUGUUUCUGAUCUCCAUGGAUAUACUGUCAGGGCUUUAUACAGGGCAUUCUAACAUCAUCUGAACAGGCUGAUAUGACCAUGUUAGAAGACGAACGACCAACAAAAAGAUGACUUUUAUCAGCCCUUGUCAAGGAAUUAGGUGAGGCCUACUCUCACUUGAAUUCUCAGUAAGCAUCCAUUGAAAAUUAUUGGGUAUUCUCAUUCUAUUAUAAAUGAUUGCAUAUUAUAACCAUUUUCUCUGU
Humulus lupulus (European hop) is the source of this 740-nucleotide long non-coding RNA. RefSeq lists it as uncharacterized. Lineage: Eukaryota; Viridiplantae; Streptophyta; Magnoliopsida; Rosales; Cannabaceae. The transcript has 5 exons. The record is from RefSeq and is a predicted model, not a curated record.